AAAAAUAAACGCAUUUGGUCAGAGUUAGGGAAUAMUUUGUAUAUCAUAAUUUUAACAAGAGUCGACCAAAUAUUGGACGAGUACCGGUUUUUCUCAGUUGCUAYGUAUUUCAUUUAGAUCGUGUGCGCUUGCGCAGAUGGGGGGCGGAUUUGUUUUGCUGGACCCUGUAGGGUUUUGCAUUAGAAUCCACCGAAAUGGAGUUUAUGAGACACCGGCAUCUUCGACGGUAAACCUUCCUGAGUGACCUCGCGACGGCCUACGAGAAGACGAAACCAUGGGSAACACGAGCAGCGAGCGGGCUGCGAUGGGCCACGGCGAGAAGGCUCAGCGGCGAGACAGCCGGGGGAUCAAAGAGGGAGAGAGACCCAAAAUCCUCAUGGACAGCCCAGAGGAUGCUGACAUUUUUCAUGGAGAAGACAUGAAGGCCCCUCUAGAGAAGGAGGAGUUCCUUGCCUGGCAGCAGGACCUGGAAGCAGA
Non-coding RNA from Poecilia reticulata (guppy), 477 nucleotides. The record is from RefSeq and is a predicted model, not a curated record. NCBI's taxonomy places the organism in Eukaryota, Metazoa, Chordata, Actinopteri, Cyprinodontiformes, Poeciliidae.